This 325-nucleotide ribosomal RNA is filed under the name Typhlocirolana sp. 3-BA2001. RNAcentral's name for it is "partial 12S ribosomal RNA". Lineage: Eukaryota; Metazoa; Arthropoda; Malacostraca; Isopoda; Cirolanidae. The record is from RNAcentral.
CUAAUCCUAGUAAAUCUUCUAAGGUCUCUUACUGUUAAAUCCUCUUUGUUAUUAUUUAUUUACAAUUAAUAUGUGCUUAGAUAUAAAUUGUAGCUCAUUGUCUCUAUAAUAUGCGCUGCACCAUGACCUGUUUUUUUUGGUGCGGGAUCGGAUUAUUAAAACUUUUUAGUGGUUAAUUUAUACCGGCGGUAUACAUACAUAUUUAUAGUAAGUUGUUCGUGUAGUGUCGUUUAUGCAACAAGCUCCUCUAAUUCGGUGAGUUGCCGCCAAAUUCUUUGGGUUUAAAGAAUUUAAUGUCUACUACCCUCCAGUAGUUUUAUCAGGA